RNAcentral lists this long non-coding RNA (1634 nucleotides) under Triticum aestivum (bread wheat). RNAcentral describes it as "long non-coding RNA (TAES_LNC025369)". Lineage: Eukaryota; Viridiplantae; Streptophyta; Magnoliopsida; Poales; Poaceae. The record is from RNAcentral.
CUCCUUUCUAGUGUUGCUUCUUCUUGUUAGUUCUGGUAACGUCGCGCUUGUGAGGAUCCGUUCGACCACGUCCGUUUGUCUUCUUCAUGGACUCGUUCUUCUUCCAUGCGGGAUUUCAGGCAAGAUGACCAUACCCUCGAUAUCACUUCUAUCUUUGCUUGCUAGUUGUUUGCUCUAUCGCUAUGUCGCGCUAGCUACCACUUGUUUAUCAUGCCUCCCAUGUUGCCAUGUCAAGUCUCUAACCCACAUUCCUAGCAAACUGUUGUUUGGCUAUGUUACCGUUUUUGCUCAGCCCCUCUUAUAGCGUUGCUAGUUGCAGGUGCCUUGCAGUUUGUUCCAUGUUGGAACAUGGAUAUGUUGGGAUAACAUAUUAUCUCUUAUUUAAUUAAUGCAUCUAUAUAUUUGGUAAAGGGUGGAAGGCUCGGCCUUAUGCCUAGUGUUUUGUUCCACUCUUGCCGCCUUAGUUUCCGUCAUACCGGUGUUAUGUUCCUUGAUUUGGCGUUCCUAAUGCAGUUGGGGUUAUGGGACCCCCUUGACGGUUUGCUUUGAAUAAAACUCCUCCAGCAAGGCCCAACCUUGGUUUUAACAUUUGCCACCACCACCUAUUAAUUUUCCCUUGGGAGUCGCACUCCCGAGGGUCAUCUUUAUUUAACCCCCCGGGCCAGUGCUUCUCUAAGUGUUGGUCUGAACGGGGCAACCCGCGGGGCCACCUCAGGGAAACUUGAGGGCUGGUUUUACUCGUAGCUUGACCUAUCCAGUGUGCCCUGAGAACGAGAUAUGUGCAGCUCCUAUCGGGGUUUGUCGGCACAGUCGGGUGGCUUUGCUGGUCUUGUUUUACCAUUGUCGAAAUGUCUUGUAACCGGGAUUCCGAGUCUAAUCUGGUCUUCCCGGGAGAAGGAGUAUCCUUUGUUGAUCAUGAGAGCUUGUGAUGGGCUAAGUUGGGACACCCCUGCAGGGUAUAAACUUUCAAGAGCCGUGCCCGCGGUUAUGUGGUAGAUGGGAAUUUGUUAAUAUCCGGUUGUAUAGAACUUGACACUUAACUUAAUUAAAAUGAAUCAACCGCGUGUGUAGCCGUGAUGGUCUCUUUUCAGCUGAGUCCGAGAAGUGAACACAGUUUGGGUUAUGUUUGAACAUAAGUAGUUUCAGGAUCACUUCUUGAUCACUUGUAGUUUAACGACCGUUGCAUAGUUUCUCAUCUUACUCUUGUACUCGUAAGUUAGCUACCAUAUUUGCUUAGCGCUUGCUGCAACUCCACCUCACUACCUUAUCCUUCCCAUAAGCUUAAAUAGUUUUGAUCUCACGGGUGUGAGAUUGCUGAGUCCUCGUGACUCACGGAUACUUCGAAACAGUUGCAGGUGCCGAUGAUACCAGUGCAGGUGAAGCAACCGAGCUCAAGUGGGAGUUCGAUGAAGAUCUUGGCCAUUGUUAUGUGUCUUUUCCGGAUGAUCAGUAGUGGUGCCCAGUUGGGACGAUCGGGGAUCUAGCAUUUGGGGUUGUCUUUUUUUAUUUUGGUUCCGUAGUCGGACCUUGAUUGUACUCUGGAUGAUGUAUGUUUAACUUGUUAUUUGUGUGAAGUGGCGAUUGUAAGCCAACUCUUUAUCUCUUUCUUAUUCAGUACAUGGGAUUGUGUGAAG